GCGGCGGACGGGUGAGUAACGCGUGGGUAACCUACCCUGUACACACGGAUAACAUACCGAAAGGUAUGCUAAUACGGGAUAAUAUAUUUGAGAGGCAUCUCUUAAAUAUCAAAGGUGAGCCAGUACAGGAUGGACCCGCGUCUGAUUAGCUAGUUGGUAAGGUAACGGCUUACCAAGGCGACGAUCAGUAGCCGACCUGAGAGGGUGAUCGGCCACAUUGGAACUGAGACACGGUCCAAACUCCUACGGGAGGGCAGCAUG
Molecule: ribosomal RNA, 261 nt
Filed under: uncultured bacterium
Lineage: Bacteria
Description: partial 16S ribosomal RNA
Rfam family: Bacterial small subunit ribosomal RNA
Source: RNAcentral